This 253-nucleotide ribosomal RNA is filed under the name uncultured bacterium. RNAcentral describes it as "partial 16S ribosomal RNA". It matches the Rfam family "Bacterial small subunit ribosomal RNA", at positions 524 to 776 of the family's 1533-position model. The record is from RNAcentral.
UACGUAGGUGGCAAGCGUUGUCCGGAUUUACUGGGCGUAAAGGGCGUGCAGGCGGUCUGUUAAGUCUAGGGUGAAAGCUCCCGGCUCAACUGGGAGAGGUCCUUGGAUACUGGCGGACUUGAGGGAGGCAGAGGAAAGUGGAAUUCCCGGUGUAGUGGUGAUAUGCGUAGAUAUUGGGAAGAACACCGGUGGCGAAGGCGGCGACCUGGUCCGAUACUGACGCUGAGGCGCGAAAGCGUGGGGAGCAAACAGG